UUCCUACGGGACGCAGCAGUGGGGAACAUUGCACAAUGGGGGAAACCCUGAUGCAGCGACGCCGCGUGAGUGAAGAAGUAUCUCGGUACGUAAAGCUCUAUCAGCAGGGAAGAAAAAAAGUCUUUGGCUCUGGACGGUACCUGACUAAGAAGCCCCGGCUAACUACGUGCCAGCAGCCGCGGUAAUACGUAGGGGGCAAGCGUUAUCCGGAUUUACUGGGUGUAAAGGGAGCGUAGACGGCAGCGCAAGUCUGGUGUGAAAUGCCGGGGCUCAACCCCGGAACUCCUUUGGAAACUGUGCAGACA
Molecule: ribosomal RNA, 305 nt
Filed under: uncultured bacterium
Lineage: Bacteria
Description: bacterial SSU rRNA
Rfam family: Bacterial small subunit ribosomal RNA
Source: RNAcentral